GUGACCAUUUCAAGAUGGCCGCGCCCUCAGUUUGGCGACAUGGCGUUGUUCAUUUUGUAACAACACAGUGUCAGUCAGUGUAAAACAGCUUGUCAAAGCCUGCACACUCUUAUUCAAGCCCUCCUUUGACGCUGGCAGUAAUGGAUAAAGACAGCUUGAUUCUCCCCGAAGACUUUCCAGAGCUGAAGAACGACACAUUCCUCAGAGCCGCUCGAGGAGAAGAGAUCGAGCACAUUCCAGUGUGGUGCAUGAGACAGGCUGGCCGCUAUCUGCCAGAGUUCAGGGAAUCGAGGGCAGGGAAGGAUUUCUUUGAGACAUGCCGCUCCCCUGAAGCUUGCUGUGAGCUGACGUUACAGCCACUCAGACGAUUCCCAUUGGAUGCUGCCAUCAUCUUCUCUGACAUCUUGGUGGUCCCUCAGGCCAUGGGAAUGGAGGUUCAGAUGAGUCCAGGAAAGGGCCCCACUUUCCCAGAACCACUGAAGGAGCCUGAAGAUCUGCAGAGACUAAAGACUAAAGUGGACGUGUCGUCUGAACUCGACUACGUUUUUAAAGCCAUCACACUGACACGACACAGAAUCGAGGGAAAAGUGCCUCUCAUCAGCUUCACUGGAGCUCCGUGGACUCUGAUGUCCUACAUGAUUGAAGGAGGAGGCUCUGCGACGCACUCAAAAGCUAAACGCUGGCUCUACAGGUACCCAGAGGCCAGCCACAAACUCCUGAGCCAGCUAACAGACGUCAUAGUGGAUUAUCUUCUCGGACAGGUGAAAGCUGGAGCUCAGGCUCUGCAGGUUUUCGAGUCUCAUGCUGGUUGCUUGGGCCCAGUGGAGUUUAAAGAGUUUUCUCUGCCUUAUCUGAGAGACAUUGCUCGCCGUGUUAAAGCCAAGAUCAAAGAAUCUGGUUUGGACAAUGUGCCUAUGAUCGUUUUUGCUAAAGAUGGUCAUUAUGGGCUCGAGGACCUCUCUGAGUCUGGUUAUGAAGUUGUGGGUCUUGACUGGACCAUAGAUCCUCGUUCAGCACGUAUCAGGACUGGAGGAAAAGUUAGUUUGCAAGGCAACAUGGAUCCCUGCGCACUUUAUGCCACAAAGGAGCGCAUAUCAGAGAUUGUGAAGAGGAUGUUGGAGGCCUUUGGCACCAAGGGCUACAUCGCUAAUCUGGGCCAUGGCCUGUACCCUGACAUGGACCCAGAAAAUGUGGGCGCGUUUGUAGACGCCGUUCACAUCCAUUCUCGCCAGCUCCUCAACCGCAAAUAAGAGGUUACUCUCCCAUCAGAAGACCUGAACACAAGAGAAGCAGCAACUGUUGAGCCGAUGCACUGUACGAUCACUGAAGAAUGUGAGGGAUAAAAUCCGAUCAAAUCCUAAGAGCUGUAUGCAUUUGUUUUUGAUGGAGUACCACAGUAACAUCUGGGCUUGAGACUGUGUUCACUGGAAGUGACUGACACCAGAGAACCUCUGAGAAUGUGUGUACAUAUCAAUGGAUGUUUUAUAUGAAGCGCAAUAAAGAGUAAUUCCUUUAAUCACAAA
RNA transcript from Carassius carassius (crucian carp), 1523 nucleotides. It is a transcript of the gene named uroporphyrinogen decarboxylase-like, with no coding region annotated. The transcript has 11 exons. NCBI's taxonomy places the organism in Eukaryota, Metazoa, Chordata, Actinopteri, Cypriniformes, Cyprinidae. The record is from RefSeq and is a predicted model, not a curated record.